UCCAGCAGUAAUUAACAUAGGCCAGAUAACCUCAUUAAAAAGCAUGAGGAGCUUGGAGGAGCAAACCUUAGUGCUGAUCCUUUUGCAGACUCUUUCUAAUCCAUCUCUCAGAAGUCAAGAUUGGACCCUUGAGCCCAGCCAUGAAGUGAAGAAAUCCUGCAGAUGAAUCCAUGUCUCUCUGUUGCUGCUUAUGCCAGAACAGGCUCCCACUUGUUCGGUCAGGAUGACUCCAGUGUAACUCAUCUUGAUUACUGAUAGAGAGUCACCAAGCUUUAAAUUUACACAAAAAAGUCUUCUCUUAACCAGUUCUGGUCCAUGAGAAGGCACGUAUGAAGAGUCUGUCUUCUUAUGAAAAUGAUGCAGUAUAUGAAUUGUGUAAGUUUUUCCCACUCUUGGCCAUAAGUUGAAAUGAAUCUAGACCAAAGAGAAAUGCAACAAAGUUCUGCAUAUGAUGAGAAUCUACCAGGAAAAAUGCUAAAACUACACUACAAGUCAACCCAUUGGCACAUGCUGCAAGACAUUUUGUUGUUACAAGGAUGUUUAAAUUCAUUUGGAGUGUAAAGGCAGAAUGUAUAAAUUAAUGUAUGAGGCUGAAAAGGCAUCAAAGACAGAUUUGAAUGAGGUAAGAUUUGAUACAGGACAUUUUAUCAGUGUUUAUUGGCUCGUGGUAAUUUGAUAGCUGUGUUUUGCUAAAUUCAGCUGCAUUCCAUCAAUUGCAAAUGGGUCAGGGCAAAAUAGAUGUGUGAUAAAUGUUCAUGCUGAACACGAAGGCCUCAAAAAUUGAGUCUCUGGAAACCACACCUUCCAACAGUGGGGGGCAACAGUACCACAUGGAUAACAUUGUAUUGCCCCUGGGUGGCAAAGCCUGGGGAAGGAGAGUUUGAGGUCAUAAUGUGAGGUCUC
RNAcentral lists this long non-coding RNA (903 nucleotides) under Anser brachyrhynchus (Pink-footed goose). RNAcentral's name for it is "lncRNA (ENSABRG00000010620.1)". The record is from RNAcentral. Lineage: Eukaryota; Metazoa; Chordata; Aves; Anseriformes; Anatidae.